Lactuca sativa (garden lettuce) is the source of this 1793-nucleotide non-coding RNA. NCBI's taxonomy places the organism in Eukaryota, Viridiplantae, Streptophyta, Magnoliopsida, Asterales, Asteraceae. The record is from RefSeq and is a predicted model, not a curated record.
GGAUUUUGGAGACGUUCCCAGAGGCAACACGAUUUUAUGUUUGCAUGCUAACAAAAUUGCCACGAAUGAGGUCGUGGAGAAGAAAAACACUGUUAUCUUGGGUUCAAUGUCGUUGAAUAAUCAACAUGUCUAUCCCUAACAACCAUCAUAUUGUUGUCGUACCAAACGAGACGGAGUUGAUGGAAUUGUUUUUUACUCGCUAUGUGAAUUGGACUCUUAACCAUGAAGAAUCUCCCCCACGGCAACAAAGUCCACCUAUUGUUGCAUCACCUCCUCGAAGAAAUAAGUACUAGUCGGAAACAUCUUCAACUGAAACAGUCACAAAUGCUUCUACCUCACAACAACCUCAAGCAGAAAGAACUUAUAUGUUAAACGACACAUCAAUAAGGUCGGUAAAGAAGAAGAAGACGAGCACAAAGGCAUUGGUGAAGCAUCUAAUAGGCGUUGUAGCUGACUUAACUUCUAAAAUAGACCGUGUAUUACAGGAAAAAAAUGAACCAGAUACAAGGUUUAGAGAGGAGGACAUGUUAAAUGAAGAGGAGGAAGAAACAUAUUAGCAUGGUACAAAGUUGCAUUGUGAUGAUACAUUUACACAUGGUUUGGAGGGGGAAGUUGGGCGUACACCUACAGGGAAAAAUAUUGAGUCGUCACCAGAUGUAGGUCAACAUCACAAAAAAAUAGUCAGUCCUAUUGUUAGGCUGCAAUGAACGAAGGGUGUUUCAUGGUAUCAGCAGACUCCAUUUACAGUGGUACAAAACUAAUAUUUUAAAUUUGGUGUAUUUUUAAAAUAUUACGUUAUUGACAAUUAAUUAACAUUUUAAUUUUUUAGAUCGAAUCCACACCAAAAUUGAAGAAAAUCACCAAACCAAGGAAAAAAAGCAGUGGAGUGUCUCGGAAAAGCAAAUGAAGACAUUAGUGAUGUUUCAAAUUAUCUACUGUUACAAUCCUUAUGUUGGUAGUACGUUGGGUUUUUGGAAUGAAUGGAAUAUGAUCUCUUCCAAACUCAACACUACAUACAGGCUGCAUCUACUCCAACUGGAUGUGGAGCUUUGGUCAAGGAGGUUACUUGCAGUUACUGACUCUUGGUGGUUAAUUUCUUCAGUAACAUUCAUUAAAUUUUAAAUACUUUUUAGACGAUAAUUUAUAUAAAUAUUUGUAACAUUUUUAUCUUAAAAUAUACAACAUAUUGCAAUAUGGAGUGCCUUACUCAUGGAAAGACGACUGUCGAACACAAGGUGGACGAUAUACCGUCAAGAACUCAAUUUGCAACCCGGAAAAAUCAUUUUUUAGGAAUGUAGCAAAUGGUGUUGGAGGCUAUCCCAAACGGAAGGAUGUGGAUAUGUGCUACAUUUAAAUACCUGGAAAGCACUCAUUUAUGAUUCAGCAUGAUCUAUAGAUUUCUUCUCAAAAGUACAUGAUUGGUGGAGAAUUGGAAAGUUUUGGGGAUAGUAUUAUCUCAGAGCUAGAUGUGAUUAAGUACUGGAACAAUUUCCCCGAUGGACACGGAGACAAUGCAAUUGUGGAGUUUGUUGAAACUAUAGACGCGCCACAACAAAAAUACAUCGAAGAUAGAGGGGAUUGUGGAGUAUUCGUAUGCAUGUUUAUCGAAAUGAUUGUUUCGGGGGUACCGAUGAAGAUUGAUAGGCCACGUAGAGAUACGAGAUUUCUAUAUAGAAAUAGGAUGACAAAUAUUAUUUGGGACACUAUAUAACUUCAUUUUAGGAACUUUGUAUAUAUUAAUAUGAAAUACCUAUUUUUAGUAAUUUUGUUUAAUAUAAAUAUGUGUUUUAUUU